AUUCAUCUGCUGAAACCUGACGCCAGCGUGACGGGUCUGGGAGGUGGAGCCGCUGGGAUGUGAUUAGGCUGUGAGGGUGGAGCCCUCUGAAUGGGAUCGGUGCCCUUAUAAGACGCCCCGGAGUGCUCCUUCGACCCUCCUGCCCUGUGAGGAUACAGUGAAAAGACAGCCGUCUAUUACCCAGGAAGUGGGUUCCCACCAGACACUGAAUCCGCGGGCCCCUUGAUCUUGGACUUCCAGCCUCCAGAACCAUGAAAAAUAAACAUCUAUUUAUUUAUCAUUAGAUAUGAUUAAUUCCGUUCUAAGAGCAGAAUUAGGCUUAGAGGAGCCGAAACUAAGGCACAGAUUAACAUUCCCUGGACCACUUCCUCCCCUUUAAGAGCCACGAUGCAGCCCACGGUGUAUAACUCAGCCCACCCAGAGAGUGCCCGUCCUCCCCGCCCGGCUUCUGAGCCUGGGCCCAGGUCUCCACGGGGGAUGGAGCGGAAGGGAUGCCCUCCCUGCCCCCAGAGCCGUGGCUCAGGCCCAGCCGGUUCCUGGAGCAGGAAAGGAAGUCCCUCUCCUUCCUGCAUUGCUCCAGCUUUCUGACGCAGGGCACCUGGGUCACAGAGGUUUCGCGCCAGAAGACCGAGGUGGUGACUCAACCAGCCGGGCUGGCAGUCGUUAGGAAGGCGAGCGCCCCGGCACUUUCCGAGAGCAGUUUGGCAGGGUGCUCCGGGGGCUUGGAAAGGUCGACACUUUCCUCUCCAGCAAUCACACGUCUGGGAAUUUUCCCAAAGGAACUAAUCCCGGAAAGAAAAGCAAGGCCGCGUGCCCAGGGAUAUUUGCUGCAGCGACAUUUGUCAUCGUUGGGCGUGACGCGUCUGUGGAAACCCCUUGGUGGAUUGGGUUGGACCUUUCCGCUUCUCUAAGACCUUCCAUAGCUCCCACUGUUCCGUAACACUGCUGUCCCAUAGAACCAGGAAGUGAGCCACACAGGUAAUUAAAAAAUUUUUAGUAGUCAUGUUUUAAAAAGAAACAGCUGCCAGGAGUUUUAAUAUCAUAUUUUAUGCAACUCCACCUAUCUGAAAUACUAUCAUUUCAACAUACAGUUGAUAUAAAAAAUCCUGAACAAGAUAUUUCACAUUAACAUUACUAAAAGUUUUUGAAAUCCAGAGCAGAUUUUACAUUGGUAGCAUAUGCAAAUUGGAUGCUAAAAGUUUAUCAAAAGCAAUUUGCUUUUGAAAAAGUAGGUUCAUGUACCUAAGGGGUCCCAGACUCAUAAAAAUUAUCCAAUAAUUGAAUUGGGAAUUUAAGUUUAAAGUGCUUAAAUUUAGAAUUUAAAAACUCAGUUCCACAUUUCAAGUGUUCAGCAGUCUUGUGUGGCUGUUGGCAACCAUAUUGGAUGGAUAGAGAGCUUGUGUAUCCUUCCAGAAAGUUCCAUUGGACAGCACAGGCUUAUAAGGCCUAAACACCUCCAUAGGACUUUCGAGAUUUUCUAGAACCCAGCCCCAACCUAGCUUUAUUUACUGACCUUGUUUUACAUACUUUCACUUUCCCAUGCCUCUCUUUCCACUUUGAAAUACUCUUUUCAUCUCUCCCCUAGAGAAGUCGGCUUAAAGAUAGAAAUUCCUCCAAGGAUUCUUCCUUCUCCCCAUUGCAGAAUUAAUUGCUGCCUCUGCUUCCCGUGGGUUCCUGAAGACGAGGCGGAAUAUGUGGGAAGGGGCAGCAGGCCUGUGGGAGCCCCCGGCCCAUGGCACGCAGCCCCUGGAGCUCAUUUCCCCAUUUCUCCUAAGACAGGUUUGAAUGGACCUUCCAGCACAGCAUUAGCCCUGCCCCACUGGACAAACAGAGCCGCACAAAGGAGGGCACUGUGUCCCGCAGCUGCCCCAGGGCUGCCGAGCAGGACUGCAGACAGGAACACGCCCUGGAUACUGGCGAUGUAAUUCUAGGCAGGCAUCAGCCCUGCCAGAAAAAAAAAAAACCUUUCUCUGCUCUCACAAAAGGAGAUGCGUGCCUGGUUACUUGGGUCCUCAUAUUUCAAUGUGGGAGCUGGUAUUUGCCAGGGCUGGGGUGGCAGGUCGCUUUUUAAAAACUCUAACAUACCUCCAGAAAAGUGCCCACAUCCUAAUCACACACCUCGAAUUUCCACAAAGCAAACUCGCCCAUAUAUCCACGCUGAAAUGAAGAAAGAGUACGUCCCCAGGCCCUCAGCAGACCCCUCUCCUGACCCCUGUACCCUUCCAGACUGCUCCGCUCCCCAAGUCACCGCGCUCCUGACUCAGUUUGCCUGUCUCUGAACUUCACCAGUGACAUCACGGGGCGUGCAUUCUGGUGUGUGGCUUUUGCCCGCUGCUCUGUUUGCGAAGUCUGUGGUUGAGUUGUGAAUGCCUUUGUUUUUUCCGUCACCUGAAAUACAAUUAGUGAAAACCACAGCAGUUACAAAAAAAAAAAAAAAA
This is a non-coding RNA of Manis javanica (Malayan pangolin), 2438 nucleotides long. The record is from RefSeq and is a predicted model, not a curated record. NCBI's taxonomy places the organism in Eukaryota, Metazoa, Chordata, Mammalia, Pholidota, Manidae.